UGAUGACCUUGCCUCUCACAGGUUUGGUGUGAGUUCUGGACGAGUCAAGACAAGUUCCUAAAAUAUGGUUUACACCAGGCAGACAUACAGCUAUCUUCCCUAUUGGAUGUUUACAGCUGAUAACUGUCAAUUUAGGAACUAUGGUACACUUCCUUCAUCAUAAAAGGAGCUCAUUUUUCAGCUGCUGCUGCUCGAAUUGGAGUUCCGGAACACUCAUGCUGCCUGGACCACCCCCACUGGACCACACUGACUCAUGCUGCCUGGACCACCCCCACUAACCCCCCAACUGGACCACACUGACUCAUGCUGCCUGGACCACCCCCACUGGACCACACUGACUCAUGCUGCCUGAGCCACCCUCACUGGACCACAGUGACUCCUGCUGCCUGGACCACCCCCACUGGACCACACUGACUCAUGCUGCCUGGACCACCCCCACUGGACCACACUGACUCAUGCUGCCUGGACCACCCCCACUGGACCACACUGACUCAUGCUGCCUGGACCACCCCCACUAACCCCCCAACUGGACCACACUGACUCAUGCUGCCUGGACCACCCCCACUGGACCAUACUGACUCAUGCUGCCUGGACCACCCCCACUGGACCACUGAUACCUCCUCCUCCUCUACUCUCCCUGUCUCUGACCCAACUGGACCACACUGACUCCUGCUGCCUGGAUCACCCCCACUAACCCCCCAACUGGACCACACUGACUCCUGCUGCCUGGAUCACCCCCACUAACCCCCCAACUGGACCACACUGACUCCUGCUGCCUGGAUCACCCCCACUAACCUCCCAACUGGACCACACUGACUCUGCUGCCUGGAUCACCCCCACUAACCCCCCAACUGGACCACACUGACUCUGCUGCCUGGGCCCCCCUCACUGGACCACACUGACUCCUGCUGCCUGGGCCCCCCUCACUGGACCACACUGACUCCUGAUACCUGGACCACCCCCACUGGACCACACUGACUACUGCUGACUGGAUCACCCCCACUAACCCCCCAACUGGACCACACUGACUCAUGCUGGCUGGACCACCCCCACUAACCCCCCAACUGGACCACACUGACUCCUGCUGCCUGGACCACCCCCACUAACCCCCCAACUGGACCACACAGACUCUGCUGCCUGGGCCACCCUCACUGGACCACACUGACUCCUGCUGCCUGGACCACCCCCACUGGACCACACUGACUCAUGCUGCCUGGACCACCCCUACUAACCCCCCAAAUGGACCACACUGACUCAUGCUGCCUGGACCACCCCCACUGGACCACACUGACUCAUGCUGCCUGGGCCACCCCCACUGGACCACACUGACUCAUGCUGCCUGGACCACCCCCACUGGACCACACUGACUCAUGCUGCCUGGACCACCCCCACUAACCCCCCAACUGGACCACACUGACUCAUGCUGCCUGGACCACCCCCACUGGACCACACUGACUCAUGCUGCCUGGACCACCCCCACUGGACCACACUGACUCCUGCUGCCUGGACCACCCCCACUGGACCACACUGACUCAUGCUGCCUGGACCACCCCCACUAACCCCCCAACUGGACCACACUGACUCAUGCUGCCUGGACCACCCCCACUGGACCACACUGACUCAUGCUGCCUGGACCACCCCCACUGGACCACACUGACUCCUGGUACUCUAACUUCCGCGAUGCAUACAAAUCUCUUCCCCGCCUUCCCUCCCUUCGGCAAAUCUGACCACGACGCCAUCUUGCUCAUCCCGGCUUAUAGGCAGAAUCUCAAACAGGUGGUACCAGUGACGAGAACCAUUCAACGCUGGUCUGACCAAUCGGAAGCCACGCUCCAAGAUUGUUUUGAUGACACGGACUGGAAUAUGUUCCGGUCAGCCUCAGAGAACAACAUUGAUCUAUACGCUGACUCGUGCCACCGUUGCGGCUCCCUAUCAAAGACUGCACCCCCCUCCUCUCCUUCUCAGUGGCUGACGUCCACAGAUGACGCAAUCGCCAUCACACUGCAGACUGCCCUAACCCACUCGGAGUGUGGUGUCAGGAAAACAACCUCUCACUCAACGUCAAAAAAACUAAGGAGAUGAUCGUGGACUUCAGGAAAGAGCAGAGGGAGCACCCCCCUAUCCACAUCGAAGGGAGAAGGUGUAAAGUUUUAAUUUCCUGGGCGUACACAUCACGGACAAACUGAAAUGGUCCAUCCACACAGACAGUGUGGUGAAGAAGGCGCAACAGCGCUUGUCACCCAAAACCCUGACAAACUUUUACAGAUGUACAAUCGAGAGCAUCCUGUCGGAUUGUAUCACAGCCUGGUAUGGCAACUGCUCCGCCCUCAACUGCAAGGCUCUCCAAUGGGUGGUGCGGUCUGAACAACGCAUUACCGGGGGCAAACUACCUGCCCUCCAGGACACCUACAGCAUCCGAUGUCACAGGAAGGCCAAAAAGAUCAAGGACAACAACCACCCGAGCCACUGCCUGUUCCCACCACUAUCAUCCAGAAGGCGAGGUCAAUACAGGUGCAUCAAAGCUGGGACCGAGAGAUUGAGAAACAGCUUCUAUCUCAAGGCCAUCAGACUGCUAAACAGCAGUCACUAACUCAGAGAGGCUGCUGCCUACAGUGAGACCCAAUCGCUGGACACUUUAAUAAAUGGAUCACUAGUCACUUUAAACAAUGCCACUUUAAAUAAUGCCACUUUAUAUCUUACAUUACUCAUAUCACAUGUAUAUACUGUAUUUUAUACCAUCUACUGCACCUUGCCUAUGCCGCUCAACCAUCGCUCAUCCAUAUACUUAUAUCUACAUUCUCAUUCACCCCUUCAUAUUUGUGUGUAUUUGGUGGUUGUUAGGUAAUUGUUAGAUUACUUGUUAGACUUGUGUGUAUUAGGUAGUUGUUGGGAAUUGUUAGAGUACUUGUUAGAUAUUACUGCACUGUUGGAACUAGAAGCACAAGCAUUUCGCUACACUCGCAUUAACAUCUGCAUGUGACCGUGUUCCACUAAUACUCCCACUAACCCCCCACUGGACCACACUGACUCCUGCUGUCCGGAACACCCUCAAUAACCCCCCACUGGACCACACUGACUCCUGCUGCCUGGAACACCCCCACUGGACCACCCCCACUGGACCACACUGACUCCUGCUGCCUUGAACACCCCCACUAACACCCCACUGGACCACACUGACUCCUGCUGCCUGGAACACCCCCACUGGACCACCCCCACGGGACCACACUGACUCCUGCUGCCUGGAACACCCCCACUAACUCCCCACUGGACCACACUGACUCCUGCUGCCUGGAACACCCCCACUAACUCCCCACUGGACCACACUGACUCCUGCUGCCUGGAACACCCCCACUAAAUCCCCACUGGACCACUCUCUGACCACUGAGACCACCGUAGAUCAUCUCUGUGAUAGACAAAAAAACUGUGUUUGAGGGCCGACUUGUGAUUACUAAUAUGAAUAAACACGUUUUGGAGGAGCUACUGUGAAUACAGAAAUUACAAUAAAAAAUAGGAAAUUAAUUAAUUAUGAAGAAAAGAAAG
This 3540-nucleotide long non-coding RNA is filed under the name Salmo salar (Atlantic salmon). RNAcentral's name for it is "lncRNA (ENSSSAG00000094801.1)". Lineage: Eukaryota; Metazoa; Chordata; Actinopteri; Salmoniformes; Salmonidae. The record is from RNAcentral.